Molecule: ribosomal RNA, 315 nt
Filed under: Schmidingerella taraikaensis
Lineage: Eukaryota; Ciliophora; Spirotrichea; Tintinnida; Rhabdonellidae
Description: partial Bacterial small subunit ribosomal RNA
Rfam family: Bacterial small subunit ribosomal RNA
Source: RNAcentral
UUAGAAUAUGUAGUGUAGCGGUGAAAUGCAUAGAUAUUACAUAGAACACCAAUUGCGAAGGCAGCUUACUAAGUACUAACUGACGCUGAUGGACGAAAGCGUGGGUAGCGAACAGGAUUAGAUACCCUGGUAGUCCACGCCCUAAACUAUGCUUACUCGACAUUGGCGAUACACUGUCAGUGUCCAAGGGAAACCGUUAAGUAAGCCACCUGGGGAGUACGUUCGCAAGAAUGAAACUCAAAGGAAUUGACGGGGGUCCGCACAAGCGGUGGAGCAUGUGGAUUAAUUCGAUGCAACGCGAAGAACCUUACCAAG